GGCGGUUAGAUAAGUNUGAAGUUAAAGGCUGUGGCUUAACCAUAGCACGCUUUGGAAACUGUUUAACUUGAGUGCAGAAAGGGAGAGUGGAAUNCCAUGUGUAGCGGUGAAAUGCGUAGAUAUAUGGAGGAACACCGGUGGCGAAAGCGGCUCUCUGGUCUGUAACCGACGCUGAGGCUCGAAAGCGUGGGGAGCAAACAGGGUUAGAUACCCUGGUAGUNCACGCCGUAAACGAUGAGUGCUAGGUGUUGGGUCCUUUCCGGGACUCAGUGCCGCAGCUAACGCAUUAAGCACUCCGCCUGGGGAGUACGACCGCAAGGUUGAAACUCAAAGGAAUUGACGGGGGCCCGCACAAGCGGCGGAGCAUGUGGUUUAAUUCGAAGCAACGCGAAGAACCUUACCAGGUCUUGACAUCCCUCUGACCGCUCUAGAGAUAGAGUUUUCCUUCGGGACAGAGGUGACAGGUGGUGCAUGGUUGUCGUCAGCUCGUGUCGUGAGAUGUUGGGUUAAGUCCCGCAACGAGCGCAACCCCUAUUGUUAGUUGCCAUCAUUGAGUUGGGCACUCUAGCGAGACUGCCGGUAAUAAACCGGAGGAAGGUGGGGAUGACGUCAAAUCAUCAUGCCCCUUAUGACCUGGGCUACACACGUGCUACAAUGGCUGGUACAACGAGUCGCGAGUCGGUGACGGCAAGCUAAUCUCUUAAAGCCAGUCUCAGUUCGGAUUGUAGGCUGCAACUCGCCUACAUGAAGUCGGAAUCGCUAGUAAUCGCGGAUCAGCACGCCGCGGUGAAUACGUUCCCGGGCCUUGUACACACCGCCCGUCACACCACGAGAGUUUGUAACACCCGAAGUCGGUGAGGUAACCAUUNGGA
RNAcentral lists this ribosomal RNA (872 nucleotides) under uncultured bacterium. RNAcentral's name for it is "bacterial SSU rRNA". It matches the Rfam family "Bacterial small subunit ribosomal RNA", at positions 574 to 1447 of the family's 1533-position model. The record is from RNAcentral.